GCGGGUGUAGUACAGUGGUAGUACGCUAGCUUCCCAAGCUAGGAACGGCGGUUCGAUUCCGCUCACCCGCUCCA
Molecule: transfer RNA, 74 nt
Filed under: Candidatus Parcubacteria bacterium
Lineage: Bacteria; Candidatus Parcubacteria
Description: tRNA-Gly
Rfam family: tRNA
About the family: Transfer RNA (tRNA) molecules are approximately 80 nucleotides in length. Their secondary structure includes four short double-helical elements and three loops (D, anti-codon, and T loops). Further hydrogen bonds mediate the characteristic L-shaped molecular structure. tRNAs have two regions of fundamental functional importance: the anti-codon, which is responsible for specific mRNA codon recognition, and the 3' end, to which the tRNAs corresponding amino acid is attached (by aminoacyl-tRNA synthetases). tRNAs cope with the degeneracy of the genetic code in two manners: having more than one tRNA (with a specific anti-codon) for a particular amino acid; and 'wobble' base-pairing, i.e. permitting non-standard base-pairing at the 3rd anti-codon position.
Source: RNAcentral